Molecule: ribosomal RNA, 244 nt
Filed under: uncultured bacterium
Lineage: Bacteria
Description: partial 16S ribosomal RNA
Rfam family: Bacterial small subunit ribosomal RNA
Source: RNAcentral
UAACGCGUGGGUAACCUGCCUCAUACAGGGGGAUAACAGUUAGAAAUGACUGCUAAUACCGCAUAAGCGCACAGUGCUGCAUGGCACAGUGUGAAAAACUCCGGUGGUAUGAGAUGGACCCGCGUCUGAUUAGCUAGUUGGUGAGGUAACGGCUCACCAAGGCGACGAUCAGUAGCCGGCUUGAGAGAGUGAACGGCCACAUUGGGACUGAGACACGGCCCAAACUCCUACGGGAGGCAGCAUG